AUAAUGGGUCAGCGACUUAUAUUCUGUAGCAAGGUUAACCGAAUAGGGGAGCCGAAGGGAAACCGAGUCUUAACUGGGCGUUAAGUUGCAGGGUAUAGACCCGAAACCCGGUGAUCUAGCCAUGGGCAGGUUGAAGGUUGGGUAACACUAACUGGAGGACCGAACCGACUAAUGUUGAAAAAUUAGCGGAUGACUUGUGGCUGGGGGUGAAAGGCCAAUCAAACCGGGAGAUAGCUGGUUCUCCCCGAAAGCUAUUUAGGUAGCGCCUCGUGAAUUCAUCUCCGGGGGUAGAGCACUGUUUCGGCAAGGGGGUCAUCCCGACUUACCAACCCGAUGCAAACUGCGAAUACCGGAGAAUGUUAUCACGGGAGACACACGGCGGGUGCUAACGUCCGUCGUGAAGAGGGAAACAACCCAGACCGCCAGCUAAGGUCCCAAAGUCAUGGUUAAGUGGGAAACGAUGUGGGAAGGCCCAGACAGCCAGGAUGUUGGCUUAGAAGCAGCCAUCAUUUAAAGAAAGCGUAAUAGCUCACUGGUCGAGUCGGCCUGCGCGGAAGAUGUAACGGGGCUAAACCAUGCACCGAAGCUGCGGCAGCGACGCUGAUGCGUUGUUGGGUAGGGGAGCGUUCUGUAAGCCUGUGAAGGUGUACUGUGAGGUAUGCUGGAGGUAUCAG
Molecule: ribosomal RNA, 674 nt
Filed under: Escherichia coli
Lineage: Bacteria; Pseudomonadati; Pseudomonadota; Gammaproteobacteria; Enterobacterales; Enterobacteriaceae
Description: partial 23S ribosomal RNA
Rfam family: Bacterial large subunit ribosomal RNA
Source: RNAcentral